RNAcentral lists this long non-coding RNA (435 nucleotides) under Setaria viridis. RNAcentral's name for it is "long non-coding RNA (SVIR_LNC005952)". Lineage: Eukaryota; Viridiplantae; Streptophyta; Magnoliopsida; Poales; Poaceae. The record is from RNAcentral.
GAAUAUAUAUAAUCAUCCUUUUAUCUUUAAUUAUGUUACAUUUUUUAAAUUUCAUCACGUUAUUCUCUCUUUUUUUUAUGAUAUCUUUGGUCAAACCUUGACGGCAAUGAGCUUUCAUGCGAUUCUGGCUCAAGUCUUGGAUGUGUUGAAUUACAGUUACACCGAUGGAAACCUGAUAUGCACUAGAGAUUCAAGCUCCAAGCUCAUCUCACUUUCUGCAGACCAUUUCAGUUGACGUCAUCUCCAUUGUUCGAGAUUUAUGAUAGUGCAUGUGAUCGUCCUUGUGAAGCGCUAGAGAGUGCACUAAUUCAUGCUCUAGUUUAUAUUGAUAUUGAUGAAGUUUUAGGCUUUAUGAUUAGAGACUUAAGCUAUGGAGCAUAUCUACAUCAGCGAAGCGAAUUAUUAAAUAUGUAGCAUGCAUGGAUGUACUCCUAC